GACGAACGCUGGCGGCGUGCUUAACACAUGCAAGUCGAACGGGCCUGUCUUCUUUUUUGGGGGGUGGGUUGAGUGGCGAACGGGUGAGUAUCACGUGAGUAACCUGCCCUUCGGUCCUGGAUAACCGCUUGAAAGGGCGGCUAAUACGGGGUGGUCCGGUUGGUCCGCAUGGGCUGGUCGGGAUAGAUUCACUGUUUUUGGUGUUACGGCGGGGGAUGGGCUCGCGGCCUAUCAGCUUGUUGGUGGGGUGAUGGCCUACCAAGGCGGUGACGGGUAGCCGGCCUGAGAGGGUGGGCGGCCACACUGGGACUGAGAUACGGCCCAGACUCCUGCGGGAGGCAGCAGUGGGGGGUAUUGCACAAUGGGCGGAAGCCUGAUGCAGCGACGUCGCGUGAGGGAUGGAGGCCUUCGGGUUGUGAACCUCUGUUUCCGGUGGUGAAGGCCCUGUCCGUGUGGUGGGGUUGACGGUAGCCGGGGAUGAAGCGCCGGCUAACUACGUG
Molecule: ribosomal RNA, 500 nt
Filed under: uncultured bacterium
Lineage: Bacteria
Description: partial 16S ribosomal RNA
Rfam family: Bacterial small subunit ribosomal RNA
Source: RNAcentral